RNAcentral lists this ribosomal RNA (450 nucleotides) under uncultured bacterium. Its description in RNAcentral is "partial 16S ribosomal RNA". It matches the Rfam family "Bacterial small subunit ribosomal RNA", at positions 354 to 796 of the family's 1533-position model. The record is from RNAcentral.
GUGGGGAAUUUUGGACAAUGGGGGCAACCCUGAUCCAGCCAUUCCGCGUGAGUGAAGAAGGCCUUCGGGUUGUAAAGCUCUUUCGGCAGGAACGAAACGGUGAGCUCUAACAUAGCUCGCUAAUGACGGUACCUGAAGAAGAAGCACCGGCUAACUACGUGCCAGCAGCCGCGGUAAUACGUAGGGUGCGAGCGUUAAUCGGAAUUACUGGGCGUAAAGCGUGCGCAGGCGGUUGUGUAAGACAGGUGUGAAAUCCCCGGGCUUAACCUGGGAACUUCGCUUGUGACUGCACGGCUAGAGGAUGGCAGAGGGUGGUGGAAUUCCACGUGUAGCAGUGAAAUGCGUAGAGAUGCGGAGGAACACCGAUGGCGAAGGCAGCCUCCUGGGAUGACACUGACGCUCAUGCACGAAAGCGUGGGGAGCAAACAGGAUUAGAAACCCUGGUAGUCC